UGGGGAAUCUUGGACAAUGGGCGCAAGCCUGAUCCAGCCAUGCCGCGUGAGUGAAGAAGGCCUUCGGGUUGUAAAGCUCUUUUACCAGGGACGAUAAUGACGGUACCUGGAGAAUAAGUCCCGGCAAACUUCGUGCCAGCAGCCGCGGUAAUACGAAGGGGGCUAGCGUUGUUCGGAAUUACUGGGCGUAAAGCGCACGUAGGCGGAUUGUUAAGUCAGAGGUGAAAUCCCGGAGCUCAACUUCGGAACUGCCUUUGAUACUGGCAAUCUCGAGUCCGGAAGAGGUUAGUGGAAUUCCCAGUGUAGAGGUGAAAUUCGUAGAUAUUGGGAAGAACACCAGUGGCGAAGGCGGCUAACUGGUCCGGUACUGACGCUGAGGUGCGAAAGCGUGGGGAGCAAACAGGAUUAGAUACCCCCGUAGUCCCUGAGCGGGCUGGCAAGGCGCAU
Molecule: ribosomal RNA, 447 nt
Filed under: uncultured bacterium
Lineage: Bacteria
Description: bacterial SSU rRNA
Rfam family: Bacterial small subunit ribosomal RNA
Source: RNAcentral